AGCAGUAGCCGCGGUAAUACGAAGGGGGCUAGCGUUGCUCGGAAUGACUGGGCGUAAAGGGCGCGUAGGCGGCGGCCAAAGUCAGGCGUGAAAUUCCUGGGCUUAACCUGGGGACUGCGCUUAAUACAGGCAGUCUAGAGUGAGGAAGAGGGUUGUGGAAUUCCCAGUGUAGAGGUGAAAUUCGCAGAUAUUGGGAAGAACACCGGUGGCGAAGGCGGCAACCUGGUCCUUGACUGACGCUGAGGCGCGAAAGCGUGGGGAGCAAACAGGAUUAGAUACCCCCGGUAGUCCCUGUCUCUUAUA
Molecule: ribosomal RNA, 303 nt
Filed under: uncultured bacterium
Lineage: Bacteria
Description: partial 16S ribosomal RNA
Rfam family: Bacterial small subunit ribosomal RNA
Source: RNAcentral